RNAcentral lists this ribosomal RNA (117 nucleotides) under Candida albicans P57072. Lineage: Eukaryota; Fungi; Ascomycota; Pichiomycetes; Serinales; Debaryomycetaceae. The record is from RNAcentral.
GCGGCCAUAUCUAGCAGAAAGCACCGUUCCCCGUUCGAUCAACCGUAGUUAAGCUGCUAAGAGCAAUACCUAGUAGUGUAGUGGGAGACCAUACGCGAAACUAUUGUGCUGCAAUCU